Molecule: ribosomal RNA, 161 nt
Filed under: uncultured bacterium
Lineage: Bacteria
Description: partial 16S ribosomal RNA
Rfam family: Bacterial small subunit ribosomal RNA
Source: RNAcentral
GGGCAGUGUGAAAAAACUCCGGUGGUAUACGAUGGAUCCGCGUCUGAUUAGCUAGUUGGCGGGGUAACGGCCCACCAAGGCAGCGAUCAGUAGCCGGCCUGAGAGGGUGGACGGCCACAUUGGGACUGAGACACGGCCCAAACUCCUACGGAAGGCAGCAG